This 497-nucleotide ribosomal RNA is filed under the name uncultured bacterium. RNAcentral describes it as "partial 16S ribosomal RNA". It matches the Rfam family "Bacterial small subunit ribosomal RNA", at positions 28 to 507 of the family's 1533-position model. The record is from RNAcentral.
GAUGAACGCUGGCGGCGUGCCUAAUACAUGCAAGUCGAGCGAACAGACGAUGAGCUUGCUCCUCUCACGUUUGCGGCGGACGUGUGAGUAACACGUGGAUACCCUACUUAUAUGACUGGGAUAACUUCGGGACACCGGCGCUAAUACCGGAUAAUAUCUUGAUCCGCAUGGUUCGUUGGUGAAAGACGGCUUUGCUGUCACUUAUCGAUGGAUCCGCGCCGCAUUAGCUAGUUGGUAAGGUCACGGCUUACCAAGGCAACGAUGCGUAGCCGACCUGAGAGGGGGAUCGGCCACACUGGAGCUGAGACACGGUCCAGACUCCUACGGGAGGCAGCAGUAGGGAAUCGUCCGCAAUAGGGGAAAGCCUGACGGAGCAACGGCGCGUGAGUGAUGAAGGUCUUCGGAGCGUAAAACUCUGUUAUGAGGGAAGAACAAAUGUGUAAGUAACUAUGCACGGCGUGACGGUACCUAAUCAGAAAGCCACGGCUAACUACGUG